This 274-nucleotide unclassified non-coding RNA is filed under the name uncultured Russulaceae. RNAcentral's name for it is "sequence contains ITS2". Lineage: Eukaryota; Fungi; Basidiomycota; Agaricomycetes; Russulales; Russulaceae. The record is from RNAcentral.
AAUCAUCAAAACCCUUUUCUUUGAUCCUCUUUGGUCAGGGAAAGGAUUUUUUGGACUUGGAGGCUCCAUGCUUGCUUUCGGAAAGUGAAAGCGAGCUCCUCUCAAAUGAAUUAGUGGGGUCCGCUUUGCCGAUCCUUGACGUGAUAAGAUGCUUCUACGUUUUGGACUUGGCAUUGUGCCUUGGAUGUCUGCUUCUAACUGUCUCUUGGACAUACGAUGGUGCUCCAGUCACUGCCAUUUACAUUGGUGGGGAGGCUGGACCCACAAAAAUAAA